RNAcentral lists this ribosomal RNA (467 nucleotides) under uncultured bacterium. RNAcentral describes it as "partial 16S ribosomal RNA". It matches the Rfam family "Bacterial small subunit ribosomal RNA", at positions 28 to 507 of the family's 1533-position model. The record is from RNAcentral.
GACGAACGCUGGCGGCGUGCUUAACACAUGCAAGUCGAACGGAAAGGCCCUGCUUUUGUGGGGUGCUCGAGUGGCGAACGGGUGAGUAACACGUGAGUAACCUGCCCUUGACUUUGGGAUAACUUCAGGAAACUGGGGCUAAUACCGGAUAGGAGCUCCUGCUGCAUGGUGGGGGUUGGAAAGUUUCGGCGGUUGGGGAUGGACUCGCGGCUUAUCAGCUUGUUGGUGGGGUAGUGGCUUACCAAGGCUUUGACGGGUAGCCGGCCUGAGAGGGUGACCGGCCACAUUGGGACUGAGAUACGGCCCAGACUCCUACGGGAGGCAGCAGUGGGGAAUAUUGCACAAUGGGCGGAAGCCUGAUGCAGCAACGCCGCGUGCGGGAUGACGGCCUUCGGGUGUAAACCGCUUUCGCCUGUGACGAAGCGUGAGUGACGGUAAUGGGUAAAGAAGCACCGGCUAACUACGCG